RNAcentral lists this ribosomal RNA (468 nucleotides) under uncultured bacterium. RNAcentral's name for it is "partial 16S ribosomal RNA". It matches the Rfam family "Bacterial small subunit ribosomal RNA", at positions 28 to 507 of the family's 1533-position model. The record is from RNAcentral.
GACGAACGCUGGCGGCGUGCUUAACACAUGCAAGUCGAACGGACAGGCCCUGCUUUUGUGGGGUGCUCGAGUGGCGAACGGGUGAGUAACACGUGAGUAACCUGCACUUGACUUUGGGAUAACUUCAGGAAACUGGGGAUAAUACCGGAUAGGAGCUCCUGCUGCAUGGUGGGGGUUGGAAAGUUUCGGCGGUUGGGGAUGGACUAGCGGCUUAUCAGCUUGUUGGUGGGGUAGUGGAUUACCAAGGCUUUGACGGGUAGCCGGCCUGAGAGGGUGGACGGCGACAAGGGGACUGAGAGAGGGCCCAGACGCGUACGGGAGGCAGCAGUGGGGAAUAUUGCACAGUGGGCGGAAGCCAGAUGCAGCAACGCCGCGUGCGUGAUGACGGCCUUCGGGUUGUAAACCGCUGUCGCCUGUGACGAAGAGUGAGUGACGGUAAUGGGUAAAGAAGCACCGGCUAACUACGUG